This 321-nucleotide ribosomal RNA is filed under the name Triticum aestivum (bread wheat). RNAcentral's name for it is "partial small subunit ribosomal RNA". Lineage: Eukaryota; Viridiplantae; Streptophyta; Magnoliopsida; Poales; Poaceae. The record is from RNAcentral.
AUGGUUCCUGUAGAUGAACUUAAGGAGAAGGCGCUUAUUUCACUGGCCAAGGAAACAUGUGAAAAAGGUGGGAUCUUUCCGUCGGAUUUCCCAGCUGGCUAUAUGCAUCAUAGAGCAUCUAAUCUGCAUCAAUUUAGACAUGGUGUGGAGCGUCGACCACGGCGAGCUUGGCUAAUGUCAACACGUGAAGCUGGGUCAAGUACAGAAGACGAAACACAAGAUUCAAGAUCACUCUCCUGCUUCAGUCAGCUGAGAGAGCUAAGAGAUAAUAUGGUAAACAAUUUCUAUCAAGUGGGUGAGCUCCAUUUUUCAAGGCCAUGA